This 29-nucleotide non-coding RNA is filed under the name Homo sapiens (human). The record is from RNAcentral. Lineage: Eukaryota; Metazoa; Chordata; Mammalia; Primates; Hominidae.
UGCCGACACACAAGUCCUACUGGGGGUGG